AAUAUUGGACAAUGGGCGAGAGCCUGAUCCAGCCAUGCCGCGUGCAGGAAGACUGCCCUAUGGGUUGUAAACUGCUUUUGGAAGGGAAGAAGCCACUAUAUUUAUAUGGUGUUGACGGUACCUUCAGAAUAAGCACCGGCUAACUCCGUGCCAGCAGCCGCGGUAAUACGGAGGGUGCGAGCGUUAUCCGGAAUUACUGGGUUUAAAGGGUGCGUAGGUGGCCCUACAAGUCAGAGGUGAAAUCAUUGAGCUUAACUGAAUAAUGGCCUUUGAAACUGUAGAGCUUGAAUCGGGAUGAGGUGAGCGGAAUGUGGCAUGUAGCGGUGAAAUGCAUAGAUAUGCCAUAGAACACCGAUUGCGAAGGCAGCUCACUAGACCUAGAUUGACACUGAGGCACGAAAGCGUGGGGAGCGAACAGGAUUAGAUACCCUGGUAGUCCACGCCCUA
This 447-nucleotide ribosomal RNA is filed under the name uncultured marine bacterium. Its description in RNAcentral is "bacterial SSU rRNA". It matches the Rfam family "Bacterial small subunit ribosomal RNA", at positions 360 to 804 of the family's 1533-position model. The record is from RNAcentral.